AUUGAACGCUGGCGGCAUGCUUUACACAUGCAAGUCGAACGGCAGCGCGGGCUUCGGCCUGGCGGCGAGUGGCGAACGGGUGAGUAAUGCAUCGGAACGUGCCCAGUAGUGGGGGAUAGCCCGGCGAAAGCCGGAUUAAUACCGCAUACGACCUGAGGUUGAAAGCGGGGGACCGAAAGGCCUCGCGCUAUUGGAGCGGCCGAUGUCGGAUUAGCUAGUUGGUGGGGUAAAGGCUUACCAAGGCGACGAUCCGUAGCUGGUCUGAGAGGACGACCAGCCACACUGGGACUGAGACACGGCCCAGACUCCUACGGGAGGCAGCAGUGGGGAAUUUUGGACAAUGGGGGCAACCCUGAUCCAGCCAUGCCGCGUGCGGGAAGAAGGCCUUCGGGUUGUAAACCGCUUUUGUUCGGGAAGAAAUCCUCUGGGCUAAUACCCCGGGGGGAUGACGGUACCGGAAGAAUAAGCACCGGCUAACUACGUG
This 484-nucleotide ribosomal RNA is filed under the name uncultured bacterium. RNAcentral describes it as "partial 16S ribosomal RNA". It matches the Rfam family "Bacterial small subunit ribosomal RNA", at positions 28 to 507 of the family's 1533-position model. The record is from RNAcentral.